RNAcentral lists this ribosomal RNA (1544 nucleotides) under Klebsiella pneumoniae subsp. pneumoniae Kp13. RNAcentral describes it as "bacterial SSU rRNA". It matches the Rfam family "Bacterial small subunit ribosomal RNA". The record is from RNAcentral. Lineage: Bacteria; Pseudomonadati; Pseudomonadota; Gammaproteobacteria; Enterobacterales; Enterobacteriaceae.
AAUUGAAGAGUUUGAUCAUGGCUCAGAUUGAACGCUGGCGGCAGGCCUAACACAUGCAAGUCGAGCGGUAGCACAGAGAGCUUGCUCUCGGGUGACGAGCGGCGGACGGGUGAGUAAUGUCUGGGAAACUGCCUGAUGGAGGGGGAUAACUACUGGAAACGGUAGCUAAUACCGCAUAAUGUCGCAAGACCAAAGUGGGGGACCUUCGGGCCUCAUGCCAUCAGAUGUGCCCAGAUGGGAUUAGCUAGUAGGUGGGGUAACGGCUCACCUAGGCGACGAUCCCUAGCUGGUCUGAGAGGAUGACCAGCCACACUGGAACUGAGACACGGUCCAGACUCCUACGGGAGGCAGCAGUGGGGAAUAUUGCACAAUGGGCGCAAGCCUGAUGCAGCCAUGCCGCGUGUGUGAAGAAGGCCUUCGGGUUGUAAAGCACUUUCAGCGGGGAGGAAGGCGUUAAGGUUAAUAACCUUGGCGAUUGACGUUACCCGCAGAAGAAGCACCGGCUAACUCCGUGCCAGCAGCCGCGGUAAUACGGAGGGUGCAAGCGUUAAUCGGAAUUACUGGGCGUAAAGCGCACGCAGGCGGUCUGUCAAGUCGGAUGUGAAAUCCCCGGGCUCAACCUGGGAACUGCAUUCGAAACUGGCAGGCUAGAGUCUUGUAGAGGGGGGUAGAAUUCCAGGUGUAGCGGUGAAAUGCGUAGAGAUCUGGAGGAAUACCGGUGGCGAAGGCGGCCCCCUGGACAAAGACUGACGCUCAGGUGCGAAAGCGUGGGGAGCAAACAGGAUUAGAUACCCUGGUAGUCCACGCCGUAAACGAUGUCGAUUUGGAGGUUGUGCCCUUGAGGCGUGGCUUCCGGAGCUAACGCGUUAAAUCGACCGCCUGGGGAGUACGGCCGCAAGGUUAAAACUCAAAUGAAUUGACGGGGGCCCGCACAAGCGGUGGAGCAUGUGGUUUAAUUCGAUGCAACGCGAAGAACCUUACCUGGUCUUGACAUCCACAGAACUUUCCAGAGAUGGAUUGGUGCCUUCGGGAACUGUGAGACAGGUGCUGCAUGGCUGUCGUCAGCUCGUGUUGUGAAAUGUUGGGUUAAGUCCCGCAACGAGCGCAACCCUUAUCCUUUGUUGCCAGCGGUUAGGCCGGGAACUCAAAGGAGACUGCCAGUGAUAAACUGGAGGAAGGUGGGGAUGACGUCAAGUCAUCAUGGCCCUUACGACCAGGGCUACACACGUGCUACAAUGGCAUAUACAAAGAGAAGCGACCUCGCGAGAGCAAGCGGACCUCAUAAAGUAUGUCGUAGUCCGGAUUGGAGUCUGCAACUCGACUCCAUGAAGUCGGAAUCGCUAGUAAUCGUAGAUCAGAAUGCUACGGUGAAUACGUUCCCGGGCCUUGUACACACCGCCCGUCACACCAUGGGAGUGGGUUGCAAAAGAAGUAGGUAGCUUAACCUUCGGGAGGGCGCUUACCACUUUGUGAUUCAUGACUGGGGUGAAGUCGUAACAAGGUAACCGUAGGGGAACCUGCGGUUGGAUCACCUCCUUACCUUA